AUCUGCAUUCAGGCUGCAGUACACACUGACAAGGUGAGCCCACUGAAGGAGAAGUCUGCCACUGCAGAGAACGGAUCUGUCCACACUGAUUCAGUCAAAGCAGAGCCACAGGUGACUGCUGAUGAGGAAGAAAAGCCGCAAAGGCAAGAAGAGGAGGAUAAAGAGGAGCUAGAGUUUCCUCAUGAUCUGCUGACCAGCAUAGACCUUGACCUCAGCACUGAGCUCAGUCUCACCUGGGGAAUCUCACUUGGACCAUCUGAGAUCCACAGUUUGCCUCAGGCUGAACUAGAAUUCCGAACCCCAACUGAAGAAUAUUUUCCCCCUGCACCUGAAGAGAGUUUUCCCCCUGCACUUGAUGAGAGUUUCCCCCCUGCGCCUGAGGAGAGUUUUCACCCUUGGCCUGAGGAGAGUUUCCCCACUGCGCCUGAGGAGAGUUUUCCUCCUGCCCCUGUGGAGAGUUUUCCUCCUGCACCUGAGGAGAGUUUUCCUCCUGCUCCUGUGGAAAGUUUUUCUCCUGCACCUGAGGAGAGUUUUACCCCUGUUACUAAGCAGACAGAAGAACCACUAGACUGCAGGUGAGACCUCCUACAUGCUCCUUAUGCACUUUAUGCACUUAUGCAAUAAUCAUGAAAUUAUU
Molecule: long non-coding RNA, 637 nt
Filed under: Sinocyclocheilus anshuiensis
Lineage: Eukaryota; Metazoa; Chordata; Actinopteri; Cypriniformes; Cyprinidae
Description: lncRNA (ENSSANG00000028789.1)
Source: RNAcentral